RNAcentral lists this non-coding RNA (28 nucleotides) under Rattus norvegicus (Norway rat). Lineage: Eukaryota; Metazoa; Chordata; Mammalia; Rodentia; Muridae. The record is from RNAcentral.
UGUGUAGUGAUUUCAGGACCUCAGUAUC